CGGUGAGUGGCGCAGCUUGGUAGCGCACUUGUGGUCGCAGGUUCAAAUCCUGUCUCACCGACCA
This 64-nucleotide transfer RNA is filed under the name Alteromonas mediterranea MED64. RNAcentral's name for it is "tRNA-Und (NNN) (tRNA-Und-NNN-2-1)". It matches the Rfam family "tRNA". From Rfam's summary of the family: Transfer RNA (tRNA) molecules are approximately 80 nucleotides in length. The record is from RNAcentral. Lineage: Bacteria; Pseudomonadati; Pseudomonadota; Gammaproteobacteria; Alteromonadales; Alteromonadaceae.